UAAAAGAGCUGAUAGAAGUGCUCCCCACCUCCUUACAGAAGGGGGAGCGUGCAUUCUUGAGAGGUCCUGGCCAAUUGUUGUGGUCGGAUCUGGUGGGAUAGCCUAUCUUUUCAGCUACAAACAAACCAGCCCCAUGAUAACUCUGAGUUGGCAUAGUUAUGCCUCUGGGCAGGGCUAGGCUGUAUCUUGCGGUAUAUGGUCGGGAAGAAUAAAGGUGGUUGUGAAGCAACAAGAGAAGCAGACAGACUGGCCUAAAUGCCAGUCAAGAACUGAAAGCCAGUGGAAGGAAGCAGGAAAGGAGAGUUGAGUUUGCAGCCUAGGUUGGGGGCCUUGGACUUUGAAAAGAAAUCAUUAUGCCUAAUGAGCAGAGGGAGUCUGUUGCAUUGUUUGAAGUAGGAAUGAGAGUCAAGAGUUUGCAUCUAGAUUGAUUGCAUGCCCGGGAUUUUGAGAAGAGAUCUCUUUAUGAAUAGAAUGGAAGGGGACUCUGUCCCAUUGUUUUCUUGUUGGAAGAGGGUGGAAUAUGACUUUUUUACUUUUAAAAAAUACAUAUCUGUAAUAUAUACAGUACAUACGCAUAUAUGAUGUUCUAUGUUUUUAUUGCAUACAUUAAUGUUACUUAUUUUCUUCAUUAAUAGAAUUACCAGGCAUGUUUGAAACCUCCAUCAAAAAGUAAACUGCAAAUGUGUCUCCUGAGAUUGGUAGAGAUUUACACAAUUCUUCAGGAGAUGAAGACUCUUUAGAACCAGAGAAACUGAUACGUACUAUUCCUAACACAGUGGAACAGCUAUAUGGCCAGAGCAUGAUAUGCUGCCCUGCAAAUGAAAUCAUUCAAACCCUAAAGAAGAUCCCUGAAAUUGGAAGUGGUGAAAUAACAAAGAUGCCACUUCAAGAAGUCGAUGUAGACCCCAAAAUAUUAACACCCAAUAUUUCACUUUUGAAAAACACUUGUACAUCAAAGGAAAAUAGAUCAACACCACAUCUUAGCAGAAUUAAAAAAACAGCAGCACUAGAUCAAAAAGUUACAUACGUGGAAGAAAAAUUUGAAAGUGGAAAUGUGGAAGAUCUGACCACCAGGAGACUGAUAAGAACGCCUAAGGAAAGGGAAGAACAUUUAAUAGAAGACGUGAAAGUUGUCAAGAAGUCUGGUAAAACAUCACAGAAAAAAUGUGAUCCAGAAUACUCAAUGAGUAUUGAGAAGUUAUAUGAAAUACCCAAAAUAGAACUAAUAGAAAACACACCAAGCAGCCUAGGGAAACUUAGAGGAGAACCCAAAAAAGUAGAAGAGCUUCCAGGUCAUAGGAAUAUGACAGUUCAUAAGGAAAAGGCAAAAGCAGGAGAAAACUUUUUUAGGAGGUUUUUAGGAGGUUUCAGGAGAGUUUUCAAAACAUCAAAAGUAAAACCAGAAGAUCUAAAGAGAUUCAAACUGAUGGAGAAUGCUAGACCUAAAACUGAUACUGAUGAAAAAACAAAAGUUAGUGAUUCAGUUAGUGAAAUAACAUCUCACACACAAUGAAAUGAAAAGAAGGCACCAAAGGUCUUAAAAGAAAUGAAAUUGAAAAAAAGAAUUGAGAAUAAAGGAAUGAUGGUGUUUCGUUCUAGGAAUAAAAAGGAAAUAUUUCCUAGGCAGUCAGAUAUGACAUUCUGAAAUAGUGAAAAGGAACCUUUUAAGAAUUUUCCAGGUUUGUUAAAGAGUCAAAAGGCAAUACUGCACCCUAGAAACAGAAAUAAACCUAUGGAGCAAGUAAAUUUGAGUUUGAGUGAAAUCAAUGAGUUACACACAGAAAAUGAACAAAAAAGUAUCAAAAAUUUGCAGGGGAAGACCAUUGUGACUGAAGAUGGACUGGCUUCAAGAAAGAGAAGCAAGUUAAAUUUGAAAAAGAAGAUAUGCAUAGAGAGUAAGGAAAAGAUACCACCUAAGAGUUUCACAGUUCAUGAAAAGGUGGAAUGUUUAACAUCUAGCAACAUACUUAAGUCUGCUAAGGAACCACAAGAGCCCAAUUUAGGUUUACCGACUGAACUAUGUAAGACAGAGAAUGAGGAGAAGAAACUUAAAGAUGCAAGUGCCAAUAUAGGGAUGAUGACUUCGAAAACCAGAGGCAAAAAUAAAGUAGAUACAUUGUCCAAGGAAACAAAGAAACUGCACAAGAGCUUCCCGGAGAAGUUUAUGUCAUCAAGAUCACAUAAAAAGGAAACAGAAACUCAAGAGAGGAUAUAUAUGGAGUGUCUAGGGAAGAGUCUCCUGGAGAAGAAUGCAGUGAAAGUCCAUGUCACAGGUCUUGACCAUCUAGAAGUAGGGGCAUUAGAUUACUCCAUGCUGCCAGGGUGGCACCUGAAACAAAGGUAGAAGAGCCAAAGAAGCCUGCGAAAGUUCGUAAGACUGGAUUAAAGUCUAGUGGCAAAAAGAAAAAGAAUAGAGGCCUGAAAGGAUCUAAUGCUGUAUUAACAUCUAGGAACAUAGAAAAGGAUGGCAAAUGCACAGGUAUUUGCCCGGAUAUCUUUCAAAGUUCAUUGGUACCUCAAGGAAUUUUAUGUUUAACUAGAAACAGAAACAAACAACCUCAAGACAUUCAUCGGAUACCUAGUCUAAAAAAGAUCAUUGAAAAGCAGCUUCCAAGCCUGGAAAAUAAAGCCCAGGAUAGAGUGCAAGAAUCCUUUAGAAUUGGAAGCCGAAAUGGAACUGACGAAGAAAUCUAUAGUACUCCUUUGCUGAGGGCCAUGGAGAUAGCUUGCGCUGAGAACAAAAAUAGAGCUAUGAUUGAACACCAGUUACAUUGAAGGUCUACUCAGAAGAAGCAGACACAAUGCAGAAUAGAUAGGAUUUAAUCUUUUGUCAAAGGACAUCUUACCUUUGGGUAAGGUUGGAAAAGCAACUGUUCUCCAGAUUCUUCCUAACAACGAGAAAGCAGGCAAUACAGAUCUGCAAAGAUCUGCCAAUCUUAGCAAACAUGACCCCUCCACCACAGCAGGAGAAUCAACCCCAGAAAAAGUCUCAAAUUGGAAGAAAACUUUUUACACUACUCUUUUCAGAAAGAGAAUAAAAUCAAAGACACCUAGCAGUAUACUGUUCGAGCCAAUUGAUGUUGGAAAGUAUAGCCCAGAGAGUCGUCUCCUAAAAUCUGUCCCACCGGUCGGUGACAAUUUAAAAGAAAUCCAUUCAGAGCCUUCUUUGCUUACAGAACCCAGCAGCAGUGCUGUGUUAGAAAAUAACAAAAACCAGACUCAAGAAAAGGUCACUGAGGAACCCAUAAAAUUAAGUAAUGACCAGGAGUUUUUGAACUCAUGGAAAACAGGAAAACACAACUUAAGCAGACCAGACCAGCUACCAGGAGUUCAAAAGAGGUAUGAUGUCACAUUUUAUGAUGUUUCUUUUUAAUGGGCAUAUCACAUGUUUUGCUAAAUUUCUCAAUGGUUGAAGUUCAGCUCUCAGUAUUAUAUAAGAUAAUCUAAAAAGCAUUUACAUGACUUUGGAAUGAAGUGAUGUGUGUUUGCUCUCUAAGGCAAUUUAAAUAAAAUAUAAUGCGAAACCCUUUUUUCUAUACCAAUCUUUACCUUAUUCUGUGUUGAGAACACAUAUAUGGUCAACUUUUCCAGAACAGAUGAAACAGAUCUUGUCUCUGUCUUGGGGCAGAGGAGUGCCUAAGUGUUUGGAAUAUGUUGAGCUUCCUCCCUAACCUAACAAAGCAAAAAUUUUAAAUGAGCACUGUAGGGCAGGGAGGUAACCAAGUUUGCUUUUAGUUUUGUUAUUCUGAAACCAAAGUGAAGAGCAACGAUUUGUUAUGAAUGGUAAAACAUUGAUUCUUUUAGGUACAGUAUAAUGCCUUGUUUAUCCAAGUAGUAUCAGAUUUGGAUAGUAGAAGCUAAUUUUACAGAUCACUGAACCCUCACUCUGUCCUUUAAGCACUAGCUUUUUUUAUUUUGUUUUAACCACUUUAGAUAGAAACCUUGCUAAAAUCUAUUACACACUUCUCUGCUUUCUAAAGCUGAGUAUUCAAAAUGUAAUUUAACCUUUUCUUGAUGAGUAGUAGUCAUCAUUAUGAACAUCAAUUACUAUGCUGUAAUAUAAUGAUAUUUGCAGACCCACAAUCAUC
Long non-coding RNA from Phascolarctos cinereus (koala), 4088 nucleotides. RefSeq lists it as uncharacterized. The record is from RefSeq and is a predicted model, not a curated record. NCBI's taxonomy places the organism in Eukaryota, Metazoa, Chordata, Mammalia, Diprotodontia, Phascolarctidae.